UGGGGAAUCUUAGACAAUGGGGGAAACCCUGAUCUAGCCAUGCCGCGUGGACGAUGAAGGCCCUAGGGUUGUAAAGUCCUUUCAGCUGGGAAGAUAAUGACGGUACCAGCAGAAGAAGCCCCGGCUAACUCCGUGCCAGCAGCCGCGGUAAUACGGAGGGGGCUAGCGUUGUUCGGAAUUACUGGGCGUAAAGCGCACGUAGGCGGAUUGGAAAGUUAGAGGUGAAAUCCCAGGGCUCAACCCUGGAACUGCCUUUAAAACUAUCAGUCUAGAGUUCGAGAGAGGUGAGUGGAAUUCCGAGUGUAGAGGUGAAAUUCGUAGAUAUUCGGAGGAACACCAGUGGCGAAGGCGGCUCACUGGCUCGAUACUGACGCUGAGGUGCGAAAGCGUGGGGAGCAAACAGGAUUAGAUACCCCCGUAGUCC
RNAcentral lists this ribosomal RNA (424 nucleotides) under uncultured prokaryote. RNAcentral's name for it is "bacterial SSU rRNA". It matches the Rfam family "Bacterial small subunit ribosomal RNA", at positions 355 to 796 of the family's 1533-position model. The record is from RNAcentral.